CCUCCUUUCUUGCGCGUGCGUGCAGCUUCUUUGCUCAGCCGCGGACGUGGAGGAACUGUGGGCCCGAGGGUCCAUAGAUGACUUGUCAGUAGAUAGUCAUUUAUUUUAUUGUUCGAAGAAAACAAAUAAGGGUGCAGCCUAGACGAAAAGAAAAAUAUUUUAUUGCCAGUGUCUAAACUCCUAAGAACGGAAUGUGUCUGAGACCAUGUGUAUGGAUACACGUGUACUUAAAACAGCCCCGCCUGUGUGUAGAGCACUUGCUGUAUGUCAACGCUUUACAAGAACUAUUGCACUUAAGCCUCAGAACAACUUUAUGAGGCCUCUAUUUCUAACAGGCUUAUUUAUGUGUAUUCUUAUUCAAUCCUGGAUUGGAUUCAUAAAAUUGGACAGUGUUGUAGGUACUGAAUGAUGUAGGCAUGCUGAAAGCCACAAAAGUGAGAAAUGACUACACUACAAGAAUGUUAAAGAAAGUCAUUCAGACAGCAAGGAAAUGAUACCAGAUGGAAAAACAGAUCUACACAGAGGAAUGAUGAGCACUGGAAAAGAUUUUGUGUAUGGAGGAGUGUGUGUGCACAGAGAGAGGGAGCACCUAAGUGAGCAAUAACACUCAGCUAGAUAUCCAAAUCCAUGCUCUCAUUUCUUGUUGGCCACACAGUGUCCCAAUGAUGCACAACUUCAGAAGGCAGGCACUAUUUACAUUGUAAUGCAUGUAAAUGGCGUUUCCUGAAGCAGGAUUAAGAAGCUACAGGAUUGGUUCCUGGAAGUGGAACUACUAUAUCAAAGCUUUGGACAUUUUUAAGACCCCAGAAAGGUAUACCUAGUUUCAAAAAGGAGGGGAAAGCAAGAUUUAAUCAUCUCCUGCCCUCAUCUGUCUUCUGAAAUCAAAUCUUUAUAAAGGUGCUUUAAAAAAAUUUUUUUUUCACUGAAAGAAUACACAGACACUUCAGUCUUAUGAAGGGACCAAACAUGCAACAUAUUUUCAUUCCUUAUCAAGGAAGCAGGAUUUACUGACCAAAAUGAUACGCUCAGAACACCACUCUGUCUUCAGUCACUCAUCACUGUCCUUGAAAGGUUCCUCAGACUCCUCUCCUCCUAAAUUCGGACACUUCCUAGGAUUCUUUUUUCAGACCUCUUCUCACGUGACACACGUUCUGGUCCAUCUUACACAUUCCCAUAACUUGUUACCACCUACAUUUUAAUGACUCCAGAGAGCCAGACUUUACUGCCAACCCUGCUGGGAUAGUUGGCUGAUAGCUCCAAUUCUACAGGAACAAAACAGGGUUCCUCCUCCUGAGGUCCACUCCUCCUCCCAGUCCACACACUAGACCAGAAACCUGGGGAUCCCCUGUCUUUGUACCACACAACCAGUUUCCACCAAUUCAUUUUAACUACUUUUCUUGAAUCCAUCUUCUCUCUAGUCCCACUGUUAUUAGGUACACAGCUGUGGUCCUGAUCCCUUCUUACUUUGAUCACAGGCUGUUUUACAUUCCAUCUUCAAGUUUCCAGGACCCCAACCAAUGUCAUCAUUUCAGAGACCCGUAAUCUGUUCAUACCUGACCAUGCAUUUCCAUUAAAAUAUCCUUUCUUUCUUCUCCCUUUCCUAUAGGUGUUAAUCCUGAGGCCCAAUAGUCUUUUACUUACAAACCCCUUGACAAUGUAUGCAAAAUUGUCAUAUGGGUCUAUAUGUAUGUUUUUAUGAGGAGAGGCCACAUUACUUUCCAUAGGUUCUCAAAAGGAUAUGUGUCUGCAAAUGGUUAAAAACUUGUAGGUCUCAGGCUAAAGUCUUAACUCCUGGCCUUUGUCCAGCUUCCUUUCUCAUGCUCAUCUUCACUCCCCUCUUGCCCCAUGCUUCUGUCCCUGUAGUUCCAGGCCUUUGUACAUGUUGCCUUUACUUGUUCAGCUUGGGAGGCCCUCUCCUUUCCUAGCUGGCCUAACUUCUGCCAUCCAGGAAACUACCUUCUCUCUUUUGAGAAACACCUCAGGUCAUACUACCUACACAAAACUGUGCGGGGCCAGGCAAGCUGGGUGUCAACUGUUGGCACCGUGAAGCCAGCCUAGCAAUUGCUCUUUUUUAGCAUUUACUCCCUGGAUUUCCAAACUGGGAUGAUGAUGGUGGGGGUAGGGUGGGGGGCAGGGAGUGGGAGAAAAGAAAAAAAUAAAACCUAUAA
This is a long non-coding RNA of Suricata suricatta (meerkat), 2168 nucleotides long. RefSeq lists it as uncharacterized. The record is from RefSeq and is a predicted model, not a curated record. The transcript is spliced from 7 exons. Lineage: Eukaryota; Metazoa; Chordata; Mammalia; Carnivora; Herpestidae.